Long non-coding RNA from Tarenaya hassleriana, 626 nucleotides. RefSeq lists it as uncharacterized. The transcript has 2 exons. NCBI's taxonomy places the organism in Eukaryota, Viridiplantae, Streptophyta, Magnoliopsida, Brassicales, Cleomaceae. The record is from RefSeq and is a predicted model, not a curated record.
AAAGCCUCAUUCCUUCAUCGUUUCCUUUCCUCUGUAUUUUGGAGUUCUCUCGUGCCCUAAUAUCAUCAGAGUGGUUGUCAUCUCCGUUUGAGGAAAGAUAAGAUAUGAAGCAGAGGCAUGGGUCUCAAUCUUCUUCGGUCUAAGGUGUGAUCUCCGUUUAUGAUUUACGUAUGGAUAUUCUAAAAUAUGCUUUUGAUUUGAUCUGUAGAAAAGCUUGUCCCUCCAAAGCUUUAUCCUUUCUCGGUUCCAGUUAUGAUUUUAUGACUUUUUACCAUUGUGAUCUGCUGGCAUCAUGCCUCUUAUUGUCCUGCGGAUUAUUACAACCUCAAAUCAUGGACGGGCAAGCAUGUAAUAACCUGCAGCAACGGCCGUUGCGAGCGAAAUAAGCAUCUGAUUGCUUCUUAACCAUAUUAAUCGCGGCUAUAAGAUGUGACUAGUACUCCAUAAUGGUUGAAUAUUAGAAGCGUGUUGACGGGUAUAACCCUUUUUUUGCGGUGGGCUUAUGAGAUUUGGUAUGGGGUUAGUAUUACAGAAGAGAUGAUCUUGCUUCGGAGGGUGAGUAGUGUAUUUAGAGUUGUGGGUGACAGUGAGUUACAUUUAGGGUAGAAACAAUAUGGUUGACGAGA